UACGUAGGGGGCAAGCGUUGUCCGGAUUUAUUGGGCGUAAAGAGCUCGUAGGCGGCUCAGUAAGUCGGGUGUGAAAGCCCCGAGCUCAACUCGGGGAGGCCACCCGAUACUGCUGUGGCUAGAGUCCGGUAGGGGAGCGUGGAAUUCCCGGUGUAGCGGUGAAAUGCGCAGAUAUCGGGAGGAACACCAGCGGCGAAGGCGGCGCUCUGGGCCGGAACUGACGCUGAGAAGCGAAAGCGUGGGGAGCGAACAGG
RNAcentral lists this ribosomal RNA (254 nucleotides) under uncultured bacterium. RNAcentral describes it as "partial 16S ribosomal RNA". It matches the Rfam family "Bacterial small subunit ribosomal RNA", at positions 524 to 776 of the family's 1533-position model. The record is from RNAcentral.